ACGACUGUAGCUCAGCUGGUUAGAUCGUGGGUCUCAUAUAUAGGCUUGCAAGCUAUGGUGCUUGACGGCUCUAUGUGCAAUCCCAAGGCCGGCGGUUCGAGCCCGCCCAGUCGCA
Hyaloraphidium curvatum is the source of this 115-nucleotide non-coding RNA. The record is from the annotation of a GenBank genome assembly. NCBI's taxonomy places the organism in Eukaryota, Fungi, Monoblepharomycota, Hyaloraphidiomycetes, Hyaloraphidiales, Hyaloraphidiaceae.